AUGCGGUUCUGACAGUGUCAUGGGUCACAGUAGUGGCCUGCUUGAUGUGGUCAGUUUUUGACCCAAGGUGGAGCAGUGGUCGUUACUUCCUCCAGGGCACCCAUCACCAUGACAUUUAGGGGACUUAUAGCAGCUUCCCUCCCCACAUGGUGAGGUUGGUUUCUUGGUGAGAUGUUGUGGCUGGAUAUAGAGGUUCUGAAAAGGAACAGCUAGAAAGAUAAGGCAGCAGCAGGAACCUCCCAUCAUCUCCUCCAGAUGUGCAAGACACGUGACAAAUUUCAGGACAAGUGGCUGUGAACAGCCGAAGACAAGACUGCUAUGGUAAACAGAACACAUUCUUUGGCUGGCUGAUGUCCUGGGAGGGAGACAUAGAUGGUCUUUCCAAAGAACAGAGAAACAGACAUAGAGUUCAAGCAGGGAGACAGUGGGCUGGAGAAUUUCAGCAAAUGCAUUUCUCUGGAAUUAUGUGACGAGCUGCUGGCAGACCAAGAGGUCUGUUUUAUACUGAGUGAGAGAGAGAGAGAGAGCUGCCAAAACCAUCCAGAACAAGACUUCCAAACACGGCAGAUCCAGUGGAGCCAGUUAUAUGGAACAGUACAAUUGCACAACAAGUUCCAGGUAACACAAAGU
Long non-coding RNA from Lingula anatina, 630 nucleotides. The record is from RefSeq and is a predicted model, not a curated record. Lineage: Eukaryota; Metazoa; Brachiopoda; Lingulata; Lingulida; Lingulidae.